RNAcentral lists this long non-coding RNA (239 nucleotides) under Elaeis guineensis (African oil palm). Its description in RNAcentral is "long non-coding RNA (EGUI_LNC048459)". Lineage: Eukaryota; Viridiplantae; Streptophyta; Magnoliopsida; Arecales; Arecaceae. The record is from RNAcentral.
GAUCCAAGGAGGCAAUGUAUUGAGGAUAAUUCUUUUUCUAGUGCCCCUGCUUCUUGCAGUAGAAGUAUUCCGCCUGACUCUGGUUGGACUUGGAUUUCUUGAUCUGACUGAGUUUGAUUGCCCCAGCACUUUGUACUUUUUUCUUGUUCUUCUUAUUCUUCUUUUCUUUCUUAAAGGAUCAACGUCCAGAAGAAGACCCUCCCACAAUAUUCACUGACUCCUUUUGGAGCUGGUGAUCC